This 72-nucleotide transfer RNA is filed under the name Pangasianodon hypophthalmus (striped catfish). It matches the Rfam family "tRNA". From Rfam's summary of the family: Transfer RNA (tRNA) molecules are approximately 80 nucleotides in length. Their secondary structure includes four short double-helical elements and three loops (D, anti-codon, and T loops). Lineage: Eukaryota; Metazoa; Chordata; Actinopteri; Siluriformes; Pangasiidae. The record is from Rfam by way of RNAcentral.
UCCCUGGAGGACUAGUGGUUAGGCCUCAGCACUCUCACUGCCAUGGCCCAGGUUUGAUUCCUGGCCAGGGAC